GGUACAGUAUAGCGAGUCGGUUCUGGUAGGGGUCAGCUACCAGAGGUAACGGGGAAAGUUCGGUGAAAAUCCGGCGCUGUCCCGCAACUGUAAGGAGAUGCAAGUCUCUAAGUCAGGAUGCCCGCCGCCUACAACGUAGCUUU
Molecule: non-coding RNA, 143 nt
Filed under: Leptolyngbya valderiana
Lineage: Bacteria; Bacillati; Cyanobacteriota; Cyanophyceae; Leptolyngbyales; Leptolyngbyaceae
Source: RNAcentral